Molecule: long non-coding RNA, 351 nt
Organism: Daphnia carinata
Lineage: Eukaryota; Metazoa; Arthropoda; Branchiopoda; Diplostraca; Daphniidae
Exons: 3
Source: RefSeq, a predicted model, not a curated record
UAUGGUUACUUGAACAAUGGAUUUGCAAAUGCAGUACAGCUGAUUUCUGUUUCACAUGGUCAGUUGGAGAUUUCCCAGGCAAAAUUUCUAGUAACUCAGCAUUUGAUUGUCACAUCAGUGAGCAAGGUUCAGUUUGGGGAUUGAGAGCCCUCAGUGACUAUAACACCUAGCCCAUAUUCAAAUUGUAGCACUUGAUUGCUGCCACUGAUUCUUCAAAAUGCCUAUCUUGUAUGGAAUGCUUGACAGCCAAAUGGAAUGAUUUGAACAAAUGCCAAAGGUGAGACAUGCUCGAAAAGCUUGAUAUGAAUGUGUAGACGUAGUUUUGGAAUUCAGAGGUGCAGCCGGCUGUUG